CUACGGGUUGCACCAGUCGAGAAUCAUUCGCAAUGCGCGAAAGCGUGACGAUGCGACGCUGCGUGGAGGAUGAAGGCCCUCGGGUCGUAAACUCCUGUCAGGAGGGAAAAGCCGGCACUUGGUCAAUACCCUUGUGCCCCGAUGGUACCUCCAGAGGAAGCCACGGCUAACUCUGUGCCAGCAGCCGCGGUAAUACAGAGGUGGCGAGCGUGGUUCGGAUUUACUGGGCGUAAAGGGUGCGUAGGCGGCGUGCAAAGCUGGAUGUGAAAUCCCGGGGCUCAACCCCGGAACUGCAUCCGGAACUGGCAUGCUAGAGACCAGGAGGGGAGAGCAGAAUUCUAGGUGUAGCGGUGAAAUGCGUUGAUAUCUAGAAGAAUACCGGUGGCGAAGGCGGCUCUCUGGAAUGGUUCUGACGCUGAGGCACGAAAGCGUGGGGAGCAAACAGGAUUAGAUACCCCGGUAGUC
Molecule: ribosomal RNA, 465 nt
Filed under: uncultured bacterium
Lineage: Bacteria
Description: partial 16S ribosomal RNA
Rfam family: Bacterial small subunit ribosomal RNA
Source: RNAcentral